Molecule: ribosomal RNA, 439 nt
Filed under: uncultured bacterium
Lineage: Bacteria
Description: partial 16S ribosomal RNA
Rfam family: Bacterial small subunit ribosomal RNA
Source: RNAcentral
CUACGGGAGGCACCAGUGGGGAAUAUUGCACAAUGGACGAAAGUCUGAUGCAGCAACGCCGCGUGGAGGAUGACACAUUUCGGUGCGUAAACUCCUUUUAUAUAAGAAGAUAAUGACGGUAUUAUAUGAAUAAGCACCGGCUAACUCCGUGCCAGCAGCCGCGGUAAUACGGGGGGUGCAAGCGUUACUCGGAAUCACUGGGCGUAAAGCGCAUGUAGGCGGACUUGUAAGUUGGAAGUGAAAUCCUAUGGCUCAACCAUAGAACUGCUUCCAAAACUGCUUGUCUAGAAUAUGGGAGAGGUAGAUGGAAUUUCUGGUGUAGGGGUAAAAUCCGUAGAGAUCAGAAGGAAUACCGAUUGCGAAGGCGAUCUACUGGAACAUUAUUGACGCUCAGAUGCGAAAGCGUGGGGAGCAAACAGGAUUAGAUACCCUGGUAGUC